RNAcentral lists this ribosomal RNA (570 nucleotides) under Triticum aestivum (bread wheat). RNAcentral describes it as "partial small subunit ribosomal RNA". The record is from RNAcentral. Lineage: Eukaryota; Viridiplantae; Streptophyta; Magnoliopsida; Poales; Poaceae.
AUGCAUUGGAAGGUCAUGAGGAAGACGUUCAAGUCACUAGGAGAUACUUACAAUUUCUAUAAUCAGUAUGCGUACGAACGUGGUUUCAGCGUAAGAAAGGACUCACUGAAAUAUUCGAAAGGUCCUGAGGCAACUAAGCGCUUGAGAAAGUAUGUGUGUGCGAUAGCUGGGAAACAACAGGCAAAACGUUGUACAAUGGAAGGCAGGACCCGCAGGCUAAGAGGGGAGACUCGUUGCUUUUGCGAUGCGCAUAUAACUUUGAAACUUGAUAAAGAGCGUGACGUUUGGUAUGUCAGCAGUUUCAAUGAUGAUCACAGUCACGUUCUAGCUAGACCGGAUGAAGUCACGUUUCUUCGGUCUCACAAUCAAAUAAAAGAAUAUCAGAAGGCUGAGAUCUUAACCAUGGUAGGUGCUGGAAUCAGGAAACAAAUGAUUUAUGAUAAACUCGUUGCGCGCUCCGGGUCAUAUGCAAAGGCUGGUUUUGGGAGGAAGAAGCUCUAUAACAUGUGUUAUAGAGAAAAAAUGAAGUUGCUUGCACAAGGUGAUGCAGACACUGCCAUUGGAUCAUGA